This 72-nucleotide transfer RNA is filed under the name Candidatus Portnoybacteria bacterium RBG_13_40_8. RNAcentral's name for it is "tRNA-Glu". It matches the Rfam family "tRNA". From Rfam's summary of the family: Transfer RNA (tRNA) molecules are approximately 80 nucleotides in length. Their secondary structure includes four short double-helical elements and three loops (D, anti-codon, and T loops). The record is from RNAcentral. Lineage: Bacteria; Candidatus Portnoyibacteriota. RNAcentral also lists the same sequence under 4 other names.
GGCCCCGUCGUCUAAUGGUCAGGACGCGAUUCUUUCAAGAUCGCAAUAGGAGUUCGAUUCUCCUCGGGGCUG